This is a long non-coding RNA of Silurus meridionalis, 796 nucleotides long. RefSeq lists it as uncharacterized. Lineage: Eukaryota; Metazoa; Chordata; Actinopteri; Siluriformes; Siluridae. The transcript is spliced from 2 exons. The record is from RefSeq and is a predicted model, not a curated record.
AAGUACAUUUUACAGCAAACUUGCCGUCCAUAAUUUUCUCCCUAGGUGCAAAAAAAUAAAUAAAAAAUGAAUUAAGAGGUUUGCCAUGAAUGUUGUUUCCAGCUCAAGAGCUGUUUAUCUCCUGAAUUCAACCUUCAACCUUAAAUGACGAUAAUUACUCACAAAUUGGACAAUUUUAGACCAAAAAAUGUAACAAGGAAAUCACAGUGUGGGAAAACUGACGGAUCACUGUAUAAGGCUCUUGGUUGCAGUUCAAACCCCAGUAUCACCAACCAGCCACUCUUGAACAAGCCCCUUUAAACCUCUUUGCUCCAGAGGAUUUGUAUCAGGGCUGACCCUGUACUUUGACCAUAGCUUUCUAACAUUGCUGGGAUAUGUGAAGAAAGACGUUCACUAUACUUUAAUGUAUAUGUGUAGUAAAAGUCACUUUAGCCACUAACAUAUUUGUUGAAUGCUUGUUACAGGCGUUCAUUAUCUUCUUAAGUGCUUUGUAUUCUCCUGGCUGCAGUAGUAGAAGGUUGUCUCCAGCUAUCACUAGGUUUUUUAACAAUAGGCUACCCUGGAUUAUACAAGGGCUUCGCACAGUUGCCAUCUUUCUGUCAAGCAGAUCUUCUGUCCAAAAUUGGACAAUAUUAAUUUACCCCUCUUAGCCAGGCAACUUGUGCCUGUAGGUUUGGCCACUUAUAAUAAAUCACCUUUCAAGGACUGAAUCCUGCAAUCCAGAAAACUAAAUAAGAGCAUAAAAUCCUGGUCAGCGAUGGUGUGGAUGAAGACUCAUGGAGACAGGCAGCAUUGA